RNAcentral lists this ribosomal RNA (861 nucleotides) under uncultured Actinomycetaceae bacterium. RNAcentral's name for it is "bacterial SSU rRNA". It matches the Rfam family "Bacterial small subunit ribosomal RNA", at positions 28 to 910 of the family's 1533-position model. The record is from RNAcentral. Lineage: Bacteria; Bacillati; Actinomycetota; Actinomycetes; Actinomycetales; Actinomycetaceae.
GACGAACGCUGGCGGCGUGCUUAACACAUGCAAGUCGAACGAUGAAGCGCUGUCUUUUUGGUGGUGUGGAUUAGUGGCGAACGGGUGAGUAAUACGCGGGCAACCUGCCCCUCUGCUUCGGGAUAAGCUUUGGAAACGGGGUCUAAUACCGGAUGUGCCUGUCUGGUCGCAUGGCUGGGCGGGGAAAGAUGUUUUUCGGCGGGGGAUGGGCUCGCGGCCUAUCAGCUUGUUGGUGGGGUGACGGCCUACCAAGGCGUCGACGGGUAGCCGGCCUGAGAGGGUGGUCGGCCACACUAGGACUGAGAUACGGCCCAGACUCCUACGGGAGGCAGCAGUGGGGGAUAUUGCACAAUGGGCGCAAGCCUGAUGCAGCGACGCCGCGUGGGGGAUGGAGGCUUUCGGGUUGUAAACCCCUUUCGGCGCGGGACAAGGCUCCGUUUGGCGGGGUUGAGGGUACGCGUCAAAGAAGCGCCGGCUAACUACGUGCCAGCAGCCGCGGUAAUACCUAGGGCGCGAGCGUUGUCCGGAAUUAUUGGGCGUAAAGGGCUUGUAGGCGGCCGGCCGCGUCCGUCGUGAAAAUCCUUCGGCUCAACCGGGGGCUUGCGGUGGGUACGGGUCGGCUGGAGUGCGGUAGGGGGAGGCUGGAACUCCUGGUGUAGCGGUGAAUGCGCAGAUAUCACGAGGGAACACCGGGGGCUAGGCGGGUCUUCUGGGCCGUUUUCUGACGCUGAAGAGCGAAAGCGUGGGGAGCAAAAAGGAUUAAUACUCUGAUAUUCCAGGGCGAAUUCGCGUGGGGCGCCGUCCGGGGAUCGAGUAGUUCUAAGCGACCCCCCUCGUGUAGCAAAAAAAACAUACAAUAAU